RNAcentral lists this small nuclear RNA (305 nucleotides) under Chinchilla lanigera (long-tailed chinchilla). RNAcentral's name for it is "7SK RNA (ENSCLAG00000021894.1)". It matches the Rfam family "7SK RNA". Rfam says of the family: 7SK was discovered as an abundant small nuclear RNA in the mid-70s but a possible function has only recently been suggested. Two independent studies have found that 7SK RNA binds the CDK9/cyclin T complex (known as elongation factor P-TEFb). P-TEFb activates transcription by phosphorylating the C-terminal domain of RNA polymerase II. Lineage: Eukaryota; Metazoa; Chordata; Mammalia; Rodentia; Chinchillidae. The record is from Rfam by way of RNAcentral.
GGAUGUGAGGGAAUCUGGCUGCAGCAUCUGUCACCUCACUGAUCGCCGGGGUUGAUCCGGCUGAUCUGGCUGGCUAGUGGGGUCUCCUUCCUUCCUCAUCGUUCACGUGAGUCCCUCCUGAAGCUGUGUGCGCUGUUGAAGAGGACGACCACCCCCACAGAGGAGCACUGUUCCUCAGUCAAGGGUGUAUGAGUAGCUGCGCUUCCCUGCUAGAACCUCCAAACACGCUCUCAAUAUAUGAGAAGAUGUACACACUCCUAAGUUUCUAAGGAAAAUUACACAAAAGAAAAACAAAGUAUUAUUUC